AUCUGGGCGCCCUUCGCCCCGAGCACCAUCGCCGGUCGCCGCCCGGUGGCUUCACCGGCAUCGCCGGCCGAGGCCACCUCACCGCCGCCCGUCUUCGUCCCCCUCCCCACCUUCGCCGCCUCGCCUCCUCGUCCGCUCCCCGAGCGCCGUCAUCGGAGGCCGCCCCGACGUCGAGCUCCUCCGUCCUCGGCCUCCUCCUCGCGCCCGCUGCCAUCCCCCUGCAACGGACGGUGAGGCCGCGGCCUCCCCCUUCUCUCCCCUGCUCGCGGUUCCUCGUGCUCCGGCCGCGCCCUGGCCGCUCUGCUCCGCGCCACCCGCCGCAUCCCCGCGCCGCGGUCGCCGCGCCAUUUUGUCGCCCGCACGCCGCUCCACUCGCGCCCGAGGCUCCAUGGCCGCACCCCCCUGGCCGUCGGCCCCGCGCGUCCCCACCACUUCAGCUUGCUGCUCCGCCCCUGGCCGCCGGAGCCCUGGCCGCUGCUCUGGCCGGCCUCGCCGUGCCUUGGCUUCGCCUAGUGGCCACAUGCGCGCGGCACAGCCGUGGCUGGCCGGCCACAACUGCCGCCCCACCCUGGGUCGCUGACCGCAGGGGCCCCGGCCCUGGCCAGAUGGGGCCUAUAACAGUUUAAAAGAAAAUGUAUUUUAAAAAUAAAAAAUUAAUUAAUUAAUUAACUUAAUUAACUCUGUUUAGUACCUAAUUAACUUGAUUAGUUAAUUAAAACUGUUAAUUAGUUGUUAGACUAUGACAGAACGGCCCCAUAUGUCAGGGUUGACUUUGGUCGACUCUGUUGACUGCUGACAUCAUGAUGAUGUCAUGCUGAUGCAAUAACCCCCAUCUUAGAUUUAAUAAUAAUUUCAGAAUAUUGUUUAAACUUUGGAAAUUCAUUUAAAAUAAUCCGUAGCUCGGAUCGAAAAACUUUGUACAUGAAAGUUGCUCAGAACGACGAGACGAAUCCGAAUACGCCCUCCGUUUGUCUGCCACACAUCCCUAGCAUAGCGAACAUGCAACCUUUUCCCUCCGGUUCAUCUGUGUGACAGACGUCCGGAACCGGGAAAACUUUCCCGGAUGUUUUCCCCCUUCGCCGGUAUCACCUCCUACCGCGUUAGGUCACACCCGGCACAUCUUAUUGCCAUGUUAUGCCUUGUGAUGCAUUGUUUGCUCUGUACUUACUAUUUCUUCCCUCUCUUCUCUCCGGUAGCCCCCGAGACCGAUGAUGCCGCUGUGAUCGUCUAUGUCACCGACGACCCCUCCUUCUUGUCUGAGCAACCACGCAAGCAAACCCCCCUUGAGCAUUCCGAUAUCGCCUAUUUCUUUCCCUCUCAUGCUUGCAUUAGAACUGCUACUGCUUUCUGUAUGAUCCUACUCUGAUGCAUAGCCUAUUGUUGUUACCUGUUUUCAUACCUUAGCUGCUUAUCCUAAACUGCUUAGUAUAGGUUGGUUAGUGAUCCAUCAGUGAACCCCACCUUGUCCUUGUUGCCCCUGCUUCAUCAUCGAUGACGCGAUCAACAUGAUCGAUGUCCAGGCCCCGACACCGCACAUCACCCCUCCCUAGUUGUACGACUCUGCAGAGUUACCAUCGAGUGCCGAGGGUGGAACCUCUUACAUCACUCCUGUUGAGACCUCUAUAGUGUAGCUAUACGGUCGAGGUCAUCGAGGGUGAUUUCCUCCUUAACCACUUAUGUUACGGCUCUGUCGUGCAACCCCUCAAGUGUGAACCUCGAGGGUGGACCCUCUUACGUUCACCUUGAUGGUAACAUCGAGUGGGAUUCACCGGGGGUGAUUCCUCGGGUUUUCCCCUUGGUGUUAGACACACAGUUACUAUGGUUACUAUGACUUUACACUGAGCCAUGUUACUAAAUACGGGUCGACCCUGAGGGGUACCCGCGCGAGCUUAAUAGCGAGUGAUGUGGAGUCGGGUUGACCUGGAAGGUGCCCGCGAGAUAACUACGAGGUGCGGCCGGGCAUUCUUAGCCCUUUCCGCAAGUACUCGAGACGGGGCAACGGGGUCACAUCUUUCGUGAGUCUCUGCUUGUUACCGCGUGCUCCCAAUCCAUUACGAUUUGGAUAUUUGAUCCGAGGGGCCUCUGGCCUGAUAGCACUAACCAUCACGUGGGCAUAGUAUGAGCGUUCUGCGUCGUAUACAUCAGCCGAAGCUUAAUAGACGUCAGCGACUAAGCGGCGCACGCCGGGUUGGACUGCGUAAGCACCUGCCUUGUUGAAGGAGGUAGCUAGGUCUGCUCACCGGCCGCCCACGCAACAUGCAGGAGUUCCUGGGGAGAUGGCCCAUGACCCCUGGGGCAUAGGUUUAGUCUAGCGUGCUGACCUCUCUAUUAAGCCUAGGUUGGGUUGCAGCGUAUUGUUUGGCCGAGGCCGGGCAUGACCCAAGAAAGUGUGUCCGGCCGGAGUUAAUCGAGUGUGGUGGGUAAGUUGGUGCACCCCUACAGGGAAGAAAACAUCUAUCGAUAGCUUGUCCUACGGUAACGGACACUUGGAGUUGUAUCCCAAUCGAUACAACUAAAACUGGAUACUUGUGAUGAGAAAUGAAUGGAUGGUGAUAAGAAAUGGAUUGUGAUGAGAAACGGAUGGUGAUGGGAAUUGGAUUGUGAUGAUAACUAGAUAGUAUGGCUCUGGGAUUACUUUCUCGCAGGGAGUCGAGAAAGGAUCUCUGGCCGAGGUUGAAAACAUUACUGCUACUUUACUUUAUGCUACUCUACUCCCUCCUGUUGCUGCAAGAUGGUGGUUUCCGGAAGAUGCUAGUCUUCGAUAGGCUUGGCUUUCCCCUUGCCUUCUGGCAUUCUGUAGUUUAGUCCAUAGAUACAUCCCAUUUCCUUUGAUACAGAUGCAUACUUAGUUUAGAUCUGAUGUAAGUCUUGCGGGUACUUUGGAUGAGUACUCACGGUUGCUUUGCUACUUCUUUUUCCCCCAUACCCGAUUGUUUCGGCCAGACGACGGAUCCCAGGAGCCAGACGAUGCCACUGAUGACUACUACUACCCGGAGGAUGCCUACUACUAUGUGAAGACCGCAGACGACUAGGAGUAGUUAGGAGGCUCCCAGGCAGGAGGCCUUGCCCUUUCGAUCGUUGUUGCUUUUGUGCUAGCCUUCUUAAGGAAAUCUUGUCUAACUUAUGUCUAUACUCAUAUAUUGUUGCUUCCGCUGACUCUUGUGUAUUCGAGCUUAUGUAUUCGAGCCCUCGAGGCCCCUGGCUUGUAAGAUAAAGCUUGUAUUAUUUUAAUUUGUGUCUAGA
RNAcentral lists this long non-coding RNA (3243 nucleotides) under Triticum aestivum (bread wheat). RNAcentral describes it as "long non-coding RNA (TAES_LNC021103)". Lineage: Eukaryota; Viridiplantae; Streptophyta; Magnoliopsida; Poales; Poaceae. The record is from RNAcentral.